RNAcentral lists this ribosomal RNA (305 nucleotides) under Paracoccaceae bacterium. RNAcentral describes it as "bacterial SSU rRNA". It matches the Rfam family "Bacterial small subunit ribosomal RNA", at positions 494 to 798 of the family's 1533-position model. The record is from RNAcentral. Lineage: Bacteria; Pseudomonadati; Pseudomonadota; Alphaproteobacteria; Rhodobacterales; Paracoccaceae.
CGGCUAACUCCGUGCCAGCAGCCGCGGUAAUACGGAGGGGGUGAGCGUUGUUCGGAAUUACUGGGCGUAAAGCGCAUGUAGGCGGAUCGGAAAGUUGGGGGUGAAAUCCCGGGGCUCAACCCCGGAACUGCCUCCAAAACGAUCGGUCUAGAGUUCGAGAGAGGUGAGUGGAAUUCCGAGUGUAGAGGUGAAAUUCGUAGAUAUUCGGAGGAACACCAGUGGCGAAGGCGGCUCACUGGCUCGAUACUGACGUUGAGGUGCGAAAGUGUGGGGAGCAAACAGGAUUAGAUACCCUGGUAGUCCAC